GACGAACGCUGGCGGCGUGCCUAAUACAUGCAAGUAGAACGCUGAAGGAGGAGCUUCCUUCCCUGGAUAAGUGGCGAACGGGUGGUAAACCGUUGGGAAACCUCCCGGGAACGGGGGGAAAAUUUUUGAAAACGAAGGUUAAUCCCGCUUAUUAGCGGUAAUUGCAUGUUAACUGUUUAAAGGGUCCAAUUCCCCCCCACCAGAAUGACCCUGCGUUGUAUUAGCAAGUUGGUGGGGUAACGGCUCACCAAGGCGACGAUACAUAGCCGACCUGAGAGGGUGAUCGGCCACACUGGGACUGAGACACGGCCCAGACUCCUACGGGAGGCAGCAGUAGGGAAUCUUCGGCAAUGGACGGAAGUCUGACCGAGCAACGCCGCGUGAGUGAAGAAGGUUGUCGGAUCGUAAAGCUCUGUUGUAAGAGAAGAACGAGUGUGAGAGUGGAAAGUUCACACUGUGACGGUAUCUUACCAGAAAGGGACGGCUAACUACGUG
Molecule: ribosomal RNA, 495 nt
Filed under: uncultured bacterium
Lineage: Bacteria
Description: partial 16S ribosomal RNA
Rfam family: Bacterial small subunit ribosomal RNA
Source: RNAcentral